AGCAUAUCAGUAAGCGGAGGAAAAGAAACUAACAAGGAUUCCCCUAGUAACGGCGAGUGAAGCGGGAAAAGCUCAAUUUUUAAAUCUCUCGGGUUCCCCGAGCGAAUUGUGGUUUAGAGAAGCGUCUUCUGGGGUCGCUUGAGUGUAAGUCCUCUGGAACGGGGCAUCAGAGAGGGUGAGAAUCCCGUCCUCAACUCAAUGCGCACUCCUCUACGAUACGUCUUCGAAGAGUCGGAUAGCUUGGGAAUGCUGUCCAAAAUGGGUGGUAAAUACCAUCUAAAGCUAAAUAUAGGCGAGAGACCGAUAGCGAACAAGUACCGUGAGGGAAAGAUGAAAAGAACUUUGAAAAGAGAGUUAAACAGUACGUGAAAUUGUCUAAAGGGAAACGCUUGAAAUCAGUCUUGCGCGCCUGAGAUCAGCCAUUCAUCAGGAUGGUGCACUCUCAGUCGUGCGGGUCAGCAUCGGUUUGGAUUGGGGUAAAAGGCUUGAGGACGGCGUUCGCGUCUGCCUGUGAGUGAUGCCCUGAACCAGACCGAGGAACGCAGUCAUGUUAUUGGAGAACCGCUCGCCUCUUUCUUCGCAGAGUCAGACAACUUGUUGACUGCCACUGUUUGCAGAUUGCGCCCGGGCGGCUAUCACACCUUGACUUAGGAUGCUGACGAAAUGGUUUUAAACGACCCGU
RNAcentral lists this ribosomal RNA (682 nucleotides) under uncultured fungus. RNAcentral describes it as "eukaryotic LSU rRNA". It matches the Rfam family "Eukaryotic large subunit ribosomal RNA", at positions 37 to 652 of the family's 3401-position model. Lineage: Eukaryota; Fungi. The record is from RNAcentral.